This 257-nucleotide microRNA precursor is filed under the name Dichanthelium oligosanthes. RNAcentral describes it as "MIR1435 microRNA precursor family". It matches the Rfam family "MIR1435 microRNA precursor family". The record is from Rfam by way of RNAcentral. Lineage: Eukaryota; Viridiplantae; Streptophyta; Magnoliopsida; Poales; Poaceae.
UAGCUUUGUCCAAAGUCAAACUUGUCUAACUUUGACUAAGUUUAUAGAAAAAAUAAUAACAUCUAAAAUAUCAAAUAAAUGUAUUAUCAAAACAUACUUAAUGGUGGAUUGAUGAAACUAAUUUGAUACCAAAUAAAUGCACUAUCAAGACAUAUUUCAUGGUGGAUUCAAUGAAACUAAUUUGAUGUUGUAGAUAUUGAUGCUUUUUCCUAUAAACUUGGUCAAAGUUAGACAAGUUUGACUUGGGACAAAGCUAA